This 160-nucleotide unclassified non-coding RNA is filed under the name uncultured fungus. RNAcentral's name for it is "sequence contains ITS1". Lineage: Eukaryota; Fungi. The record is from RNAcentral.
CCGAGUUAUCACAACUCCAAACCCAUGUGAAUCAUACCUUUUGUUGCCUCGGCGGUCGCUGAGGGAGUGCCUCCCGGGGCCUCUCCCCUCUUCGCCGCCGGUGGACACCUAAACUCUUUUGCAAUUUUUGUCAAUCUGAGUAGACUAUAUAAAUAAGUCA